CUUAGUUCGUGGAGUGAUCUGUCUGCUUAAUUGCGUUUCAAAAUUUAACUUGAGGACCGGGUUUUGGUUUGGCUAGUGGUUCUACGAUGACUGUGAACUGUCAUGUCUUCGGAUGUGCGACUAUUGGUCUAGGAUCACAUGACUUGCCCCUGGGACUCUUUUGAACGCAACGGACGUGAUUGCAACCCCUUGUUGAGAUUAGAGAUAGUCUCGAUAUUCACUGGACAAACUGGCUGCUUUAUGCAGUCUUGUUGAAUGGUGGAUAAACUCGGGGGACUGCUGACUAUAACCAUUUCUCAAAACAGAGGAAGGUUGCGGCAAUAACAGGUCUGUGAUGCCCUCAGAUGUCCCGGGCUGCACACGUGCUACAAUGAGUGGCGCAAUGUGCUAAUGUUUAAGGGAU
Molecule: ribosomal RNA, 403 nt
Filed under: Globigerinoides ruber albus
Lineage: Eukaryota; Foraminifera; Rotaliida; Globigerinidae
Description: SSU rRNA
Rfam family: Eukaryotic small subunit ribosomal RNA
Source: RNAcentral